AAAUGGUUUUCUUUACCCCGUCUUGUAACACGGACCAAGGAGUCUAACAUAUGUGCGAGUACAUGGGUGACAAACCUACGUGCGCAAUGAAAGUAACAGUGGUUGGAUCCGGUAAAACGGUGCACAAUCCGCCGGCCACAAUCCUUCGGGAGAAAGGUCUGAGUGUGAGCACACAUGUUGGGACCCGAAAGAUGGUGAACUAUGCCUGAAUAGGGUGAAGCCAGGGGAAACUCUGGUGGAGGCUCGCAGCGGUUCUGACGUGCAAAUCGAUCGUCAAAUUUGGGUAUAGGGGCGAAAGACUAAUCGAACCAUCUAGUAGCUGGUUCCCUCCGAAGUUUCCCUCAGGAUAGCUGGAGCUCAUACAAGUUUUAUCAGGUAAAGCGAAUGAUUAGAGGCAUCGGGGGUGAAACAUCCUCGACCUAUUCUCAAACUUUAAAUAGGUAAGAAGUCCUUGCCACUUGAUUGGGCAUGGGCAUUGAAUUGGAGUUCCAAGUGGGCCAUUUUUGGUAAGCAGAACUGGCGAUGCGGGAUGAACCGAACGCGAGGUUAAGGUGCCGGAGUGGACGCUCAUCAGACACCACAAAAGGUGUUAGCACAUUUAGACAAUAGGACGGUGGCCAUGGAAGUCGGAAUCCGCUAAGGACUGUGUAACAACUCACCUAUCGAAUGUGCUAGCCCUGAAAAUGGAUGGCGCUCAAGCGUCCCACCCAUACCUCGCCCUCAGGGUAGAAACGAUGCCCUGAGGAGUAGGCGGCCGUGGGGGUCAGUGACGAAGCCUAGGGCGUGAGCCCGGGUUGAACGGCCUCUAGUGCAGAUCUUGGUGGUAGUAGCAAAUA
RNAcentral lists this ribosomal RNA (836 nucleotides) under Ditylum brightwellii. RNAcentral describes it as "partial Eukaryotic large subunit ribosomal RNA". It matches the Rfam family "Eukaryotic large subunit ribosomal RNA", at positions 632 to 1469 of the family's 3401-position model. Lineage: Eukaryota; Bacillariophyta; Thalassiosirophyceae; Lithodesmiales; Lithodesmiaceae. The record is from RNAcentral.